AAUGUUGAAUGCACCACACAUUAAAAUUUAAUAUUAAAUGACUUAUUUACCCCAUUAUGCAAUGACAAUUUUGACCUUAUUAGGUUUUAAAAAAAUAAAAUAAAAAUCUCUAAAUACACCCCAAAUCACUAAACCCUAACCCUUAUUUAUCUUCUCAACUAUCAAAACCCUCCCACCCUCCAUUGUUGAAUAAAACUCUAACCAAUGAAACUACAAACAUGUUGAUUGAGAAAAAAUUGCUUUUGACGAAUGGAACACGAAAUCAAUGUUUCGGAAGCUUCACAUGAGGUAAGACUUCAUAUUUUUCAUCAUUUUAGUGAUUUCAAUGACAUCGAUAAUAAUUUAAUCUUGAGUUCGUUGCGAUGUUUAAACUUCUAUAUCCAGUCCGUUGAGUGACGUGUAGUCCCUUGUUCAUUGUUCCUAGCAGAAUCCAAAACCAUUUUAGUUCUUUAACCCCCCGGUCUACUCUUUGCUCUGUGGAGUUGACGACACUUUAUGGGGUUGAAGUUACGCAUCUUUUCAUAGUAGAUUGCGCCUUCGAUAAAAUAUGUUAUAAACAGCGUUUCUUGUUAUUCAUCUGUUUACUCAUCUUCAUUCCUUCUAGAUUUGAGAUAGAAUUCCUAGCGACCAAAUCUAUUUACCUUCUCCUCUUGGUUGAGUUCAGUUCACAAAGAGGAAGAUUUAGAACAAUGAGAGUGUUGGUCACUUCACUAAUAUGAUCUAUACCAUUGCAUUUAUUUGUAAACCUUUGAAUCUCCCCAGUGACAAUCACCGCAGAGAAGUGUCUAGAUUGUGCUGUGUAUUUUUGGUCUUGAGUCCCUAAGAUUUUGGGUGAAAUUUCUGUCUAAUAGUGGUGUGUAAGGUUUUCGGAGUUACCAUAAUCCACAUUUGAAUUUGGAGGAUAUAUAAAUUCCUAGGAAACUGAGGGUGGAUGUACGCAACAGGUGAUGCGAAAUAUAUAAGCACACAAAUUAAACCCUCUUUUUGUCAAUUGUAGCAAAGUAUGUAAGUAGGGAUCGUUCUAGGCCGGGGAUUAGGAGGGAUUGCCAAAUCACUUAAAACUGACUCAAAACGUAAAAACAAAGUUUAAAACACUAAACUAGACUCAAAGAAUGCAAAACUAAACUAUAAAACACCAAAACAAACCAAAAGACUCAAAACAGCAAAUAAACACUCAAAAAUGCCUUAAAAACACUUUCUGGGCAGUUUUGAACACCUAACACUAAAUUGGACGAAAUUGGGUUAUGACUUGACUCAAGACACUUAAAAACACAAACUAAAUUGAUUUCUAACUAAUCUAACACUUUGUAAAUUGAAAACAAGAACAAACUUUGUAAAUUGAACAGAUUCUAAAACGAAUUUGAUAAAAGUGAAUGGAUGGAAAGCUAGCUAAGGGGUUCUUCUCCACACAUGUCACACUUGCAUACAAAACGAUUUCCAAUUGCUUCUCCCUAAACCAUGAAUUCCCAACACCCCAGAUUAACCGUGAAUUGCACUAAUUAACCCUCAGAUUUUCCUUAAGUU
RNAcentral lists this long non-coding RNA (1524 nucleotides) under Malus domestica (apple). Its description in RNAcentral is "long non-coding RNA (MDOM_LNC001697)". The record is from RNAcentral. Lineage: Eukaryota; Viridiplantae; Streptophyta; Magnoliopsida; Rosales; Rosaceae.